This 240-nucleotide unclassified non-coding RNA is filed under the name soil metagenome. RNAcentral describes it as "partial contains 5.8S ribosomal RNA, internal transcribed spacer 2, and large subunit ribosomal RNA". The record is from RNAcentral.
AACAUCGCGCACCUGCGGGAACCUGCGGAAGGAUCAUUACCGAGUGUGAACCCCCCCGUAAAAAAGAGGGGUUACCUCCCGUCCUUUGCUGGGAACCCCUUUCCAACUUGGAAGGAGGUUGUUUUCAGACCCUUCUGCUUCGGUGGGGUAACCCACCGGAACAACCUCAAAAAUAUUCUCAAUUCAAAACCGUUCAGUCCGAGAACUUUUUUGAAAAGCGAAAAAACUUUUAGCAACGGA